AGGCCCUCGUGCCGCCGACGCGGUGCGGCAUGAGGCCAACACAGGAGGGUAGAGGGACUCCUCCAUGAAACCCAGGGACGAGGCCGCCCCUCCUCUCUGGAGCCUGUCUGGAGGCACAGUU
Molecule: small nucleolar RNA, 121 nt
Organism: Ochotona princeps (American pika)
Lineage: Eukaryota; Metazoa; Chordata; Mammalia; Lagomorpha; Ochotonidae
Source: Ensembl